CAGCCGCCACGGUAACACGUAGGGUGCGAGCGUUAACCGGAAUUACUGGGCGUAAAGCGUGCGCAGGCGGUUUUGUAAGACAGGCGUGAAAUCCCCGGGCUCAACCUGGGAAUGGCGCUUGUGACUGCAAAGCUAGAGUGCGGCAGAGGGGGAUGGAAUUCCGCGUGUAGCAGUGAAAUGCGUAGAUAUGCGGAGGAACACCGAUGGCGAAGGCAAUCCCCUGGGCCUGCACUGACGCUCAUGCACGAAAGCGUGGGGAGCAAACAGGAUUAGAUACCCCGGUAGUCCCUGUCUCUUAUAC
Molecule: ribosomal RNA, 301 nt
Filed under: uncultured bacterium
Lineage: Bacteria
Description: partial 16S ribosomal RNA
Rfam family: Bacterial small subunit ribosomal RNA
Source: RNAcentral